This 459-nucleotide ribosomal RNA is filed under the name uncultured bacterium. RNAcentral's name for it is "bacterial SSU rRNA". It matches the Rfam family "Bacterial small subunit ribosomal RNA", at positions 335 to 795 of the family's 1533-position model. The record is from RNAcentral.
UUUCCUACGGGGGGCAGCAGUGAGGAAUAUUGCGCAAUGGCCGAAAGGCUGACGCAGCGACGCCGCGUGAAGGAUGAAGUUCGUUAGAAUGUAAACUUCUUUUGUAGGGGAUGAAUGUGCCGUUUUACGGCAUUGACCGUACCCUGCGAAUAAGGAUCGGCUAACUACGUGCCAGCAGCCGCGGUAAUACGUAGGAUCCGAGCGUUGUCCGGAUUUACUGGGUGUAAAGGGCGUGUAGGUGGGUCUCGAAGUCAGUGGUGAAAGCCCGCAGCUUAACUGCGGAAUUGCCAUUGAUACUGGAGGUCUUGAGUACGGCAGAGGGAAAUGGAAUUCAUGGUGUAGCGGUGAAAUGUGUAGAUAUCAUGAAGAACACCGGUAGCGAAGGCGGUUUCCUGGUCCGUAACUGACACUGAGGCGCGAAAGCGUGGGGAGCAAACAGGAUUAGAUACCCGAGUAGUC